GAUGAAGAACGCAGCGAAAUGCGAUACUUGGUGUGAAUUGCAGAAUCCCGUGAACCAUCGAGUCUUUGAACGCAAGUUGCGCCCGAAGCCAUUAGGCCGAGGCACGCCUGCCUGGGUGUCACACGUCGUUGCCCCCCCAUCUACUCCUUCGGGAUUGCGGGGGGCGGAUGAUGGCCUCCCGUGCGCCUCGUCGCGCGGUUGGCAUAAAUGCCAAGUCCUCGGCGACGCACGCCACGACAAUCGGUGGUUGCGAAACCUCGGUUGCCCGUCGUGUGCGGUCGUCGCGCAUCGAGGGCUCGAAAAAAUUGCCGGGCUCCGGCUCGGCUUUCAACGCGACCCCAGGUCAGGCGGGGUUACCCGCUGAAUUUAAGCAUAUCAAUAAGCGGAGGA
This 390-nucleotide unclassified non-coding RNA is filed under the name soil metagenome. RNAcentral describes it as "partial contains 5.8S ribosomal RNA, internal transcribed spacer 2, and large subunit ribosomal RNA". The stretch from base 1 to 121 matches the Rfam family "5.8S ribosomal RNA", at positions 35 to 154 of the family's 154-position model. The record is from RNAcentral.